AAGCCGGUCAAUCGCGUCGCGCUCGAGAGCGUGAAGAUCGUGCCGGCUGAUUCGGUGAAAUGAUUUAACCGCAGAGAUCGCAGAGGACGCAGAGAAGGAACUCCUUCUUUGAUCCUCUGCGCACUCUGCGUGCUCUGCGGUCAACCCAAAUGGCUUCCUCGGACACGUCGAACGUCGCACUGGUGCAGAUGCAGUGCAGCGCCGAUCCGGCUGAAAAUCUGGAGCGGGCGAUCGCAUUCAUCCGUGAUGCCGGCAAGCAGGGCGCCGACAUCGUCUGCCUGCCGGAGCUGUUUCGCUCGCAAUA
This 304-nucleotide unclassified non-coding RNA is filed under the name plant metagenome. RNAcentral's name for it is "partial contains 5.8S ribosomal RNA, internal transcribed spacer 2, and large subunit ribosomal RNA". The record is from RNAcentral.